RNAcentral lists this ribosomal RNA (301 nucleotides) under uncultured bacterium. RNAcentral describes it as "partial 16S ribosomal RNA". It matches the Rfam family "Bacterial small subunit ribosomal RNA", at positions 509 to 808 of the family's 1533-position model. The record is from RNAcentral.
CAGUCGCCGCGGGAAUACGUAUGUCACAAGCGUUAUCCGGAUUUAUUGGGCGUAAGGCGCGUCUAGGUGGUUAUGUAAGUCUGAUGUGAAAAUGCAGAGCUCAACUCUGUAUUGCGUUGGAAACUGUGUAACUAGAGUACUGGAGAGGUAAGCGGAACUACAAGUGUAGAGGUGAAAUUCGUAGAUAUUUGUAGGAAUGCCGAUGGGGAAGCCAGCUUACUGGACAGAUACUGACGCUGAAGCGCGAAAGCGUGGGUAGCAAACAGGAUUAGAUACCCCGGUAGUCCCUGUCUCUUAUACA